UGACAACCCUGUCAACUAUCGUCUAUCUCCUUUCAAAAAUGGUAGCAAAACGUUCGUCCUGAGAGUUCUCGUAAUUUUAUGUUUGGUUUAUCUAAGAAAAUUAUGUACUAAAAGUGAAUAGUGUCGUGAAUGUAUAGAUUAAAAGCCUCCAAUUAAUAUUCGAAUUAUAAAAUGAGUACGGAAGUCGCCCCAAACAACAUAGAAACGGAAUUCUUGGAACUGAAUUCGAAAGAUGACUGGCCCGCGUUUUAUCAGAAAAUAAGAGCAAAAAGUAUAAAAUUAGCUGGGCCUUGCUUAGAGGCCCUCAAACCUCAAAAUAAAAAUUUAAACAGAUAUAGAGAUGUCCAUCCAUAUGACCAUAGUAGAAUCAUUCUGCAGAGGGGUUCUACUGAUUAUAUCAAUGCCAAUCUUUGUAAGGUGGAAAAAGCCAAUAGAAAAUACAUAUUAACACAGGGUCCUCUUUCAAACACAGUAAGCCAUUUUUGGCUGAUGAUAUGGGAGCAACAGAGCAAAGCUGUGUUAAUGUUAAACAAACUAAUAGAAAAAAGAGCAGAGAAAUGUUUUCAGUAUUGGCCCUCAAAUGUUGGUAGCAAAAUGACAUUUAAUGAUGUUGGUCUAAGCCUUGAGUACUUGGAGCAGCAAGAUCAUUCAUAUUAUCUGACCAGGAUUUUGAGAUUGACAGAUAUUGAAAGUGGCCACCAUAGAGACAUCCUACAAUUCCAUUACAUAACCUGGCCUGAUUUUGGGGUACCUUGUUCGCCUACGAAAUUUUUAGAUUUUCUAAAAAAAGUUAGGAAAGCAGGAGUAUUAGAGGAUAAUGUUGGACCUCCAGUUGUCCACUGUUCCGCUGGUAUAGGAAGGUCGGGUACAUUUUGUUUGGUUGACUCUUGCCUAGUUCUUAUUGAAAAAUAUGGCCUAAAUUCUGUGAACGUUGAAGAAAUACUGCUAGAAUUAAGGAAAUACCGGACCGGACUAAUACAGACGGCGGAACAAUUACGUUUCUCAUAUCAGGCAAUAAUUGAGGGCGCAAAACAACUUUUAAAUCAUGUAUCUGAUGAUGAUGAGAGUUCUGAAGGGAAGCCAAACAACCACCUGAUCCAAGAUGGCGGUGAGUUAAUAGAGGAGGCCAAUACUUCGUCGGAAGAGGACGAAAUAGAACCGCCCCCUCUUCCUCCGCCGCGCAUUGACAGUCUUGCAGCAUCCGCGGCCUCCCAACAAAAUGGUCUUGCUGAUAAGCCACUGCCAACUAUACCACAGAGCGUUUCGUAUAAUGAUUUCACUUAUAAAGGAAACGGUGAUGAAAAUGGUGAAGAGAGACAAGUACCAAGUGGUCCCCUUCCAAAUGUUCCUACUUUAGAGGAAGGCAGUAGUGAGGAUUCCCUGGAGGAAGAAAGUGACGCGGAUGAGGAGGACGAACCAGAUGAAGAAGAUCCCAGAGUCGAGAGUCCGAGCAGUGAUGAUGGGAAGUCAAAGAAAUUGCCUAGGCAGCCUAAAAAUUCUUUAUGUAAGUGGAAUAGAAAAAAUUCUGCGGAAAUUCGUCACAGACGUCGCGUCGAACGCAAGAAUCAACUGGAAAAGCAAGUGAGAGACAUGAAGAGAAGACAACAGUCGACAGAGCAAUGGCAACAGCUGAAGAGGUCUCUAUACGUUCCCCUAUUGGUCGGAGGUGCCGCCAUUUUAUUGGGCGGCGGCCUCGCAGCCUACUUCUAUAUCAAUAAAGAAUAAACAAUCAACGAAAAUAUUUUCGGAUCGGGUUUAGGUCGCACUGGUUGGGACAGGGUGAUUCGUCAUUUCACAGUGAAACAUAAUAUGAAUGUUUCACUGUAAUGAAACACCCUAUAUGUUUGGCUCAUAGAUUAUAUAUUAAUAUUUUUUAAAUUACUUAAAGCAGUUUGGUCGGUUUCAAGAUUAGUCGUCUGCUGACGGUUUUUCUUCCGUAUGUUGUUUGUUGAUGAGAAAAAUUGGUUAUGUGACGUCACGUGGAGAAAUUAUGACGUUUCAUAUAUAUUGUAUAUUUUUUUUAUAGUUUAUUUACUAGUUAUGACUGCAUUUAUUAAUAAACACGACAGUUUUUUAUACAACUUACAUAUCCAAAAAAAAAAGUUGAGUUCCUCAAAACAAUUUUUGCAAGCAAAAUAUUUAUUUUUCAUUAAUAUAUUUAUUUGUAGCAAAUGUUUAGACAAUUAGAGAUUAAAAAUUUGAGAACGUUUGGAUUGCUAGAAAAAGACUGAUACCAAUGACAGUUUUUAAAAUUCCGGUUUUUAUUGGACGAAAUCUCUGUUCGUUGUGAUACUAAAUUAAAAAGAGAAAUGGAAUAAUGGAGUGGGAAAUUCAAGCUGGAACGUGUAUAUAUUCAUAAUAAUCGUUAGGAAAACGUAUAAGACUUAAUGUGUAGUUUUUAGAAAACACUUGGGGAUGAAAGUUCGCGUUUUUUUCUGGUACAAAUUUUGUAAAUAACAUACAGCCCCAAUAUUUUUUAUCCAGACUUUUCAAAAUCAAACGCUUAAUAAUUUGUAAGUUCAUCCCUCAAGCAACCCUUUAGAUUUCAAUACAAUAUUAUCACUGAAGUAGCUAUAGUUGUAAUGUCCAUUGUCAUUUAAUUUUUUCAUAAAAAUGAAUCGAAAGUUACAGGGUCUUUUUGGAUUUAUAAAAAAAAAUACGAUAAAAAUAUCAUUGCACGAGACAAGUUGGUAUACUGCUAAAUAGGAAUAAAGUAUUUAGAAGACACUUACAUCUUAUCAGGCAAGUGAUUAAGGUAAGAAAAUUAAAAAUUUAUUUCUAUUACAUUUCAUAUCAAAAAUAUGUGUUACUCUUUGAAUAUCCUGCAAUGCCUAACUCUUAAAUGCAUCGUUUCUUCUUUUUUAUCAAAUAAUAAAAUUAUGUAAUAGAUGUACCGGGUGGCCAAAUAAGCGUGGUAAGCGGCUGUAUCUCAGGACCUGUACAUCUGGCAACAAUGGAAUUUUUUUUAUUAUUAUAAAAGUGGCCAUGAGAAAAUUCUGGAAAUUAUUUUUAAGUUCCGUAUUUCACCGCAAGAGGGCGCAACUAAAAAUUAAAUAAAAGAAACGUCUUUUUCUCCGAAAACUUAAACAUUAACUUAUACUUUUGAUAUUAUUUUUAGUAAACCUAGAUAAUUUUCUAUAAUUUUGGUUUAUGAAUUAUUGACGUACGAACGAUAGUAGGGGUGGGGGAAGCUAUUGAAAGUGGAAUCAUUAAAAUCGGUGUAAAUUCUAAACCACUUAUUCGAUUUGAGCAAUUCAAAAUUUAUUUGCAAGAUAAAUAUAGCUGCUUUAAAAGUCUGAUCUCAUCACUACCGUGUAGUUCCUAAUAAAACCGCCAGAGGGCACAAUUUGUAAUAAUUCCAGUUUUUUUCAUUUGGCUCCAAAAAUUCAAAUUAAAUGGUAUAUUUUUGACAUCCUAUUUAAAAAGUAAAUAAAAUUUGCAAAAGUACUGUGAAAACCGCACGAUGAUAUAUUUGCUCGUUUUAAAGUUAUAGCGAAUUAAAGUUUUUUACGCACCGAGCUUAAACUUACGUACCGCCAUCUAGUGUCUCGCCUAAAAAUCUCUAAUUAGUAUUACCACAACUAGGAUACCAUGAUGUUGUCAUAAUUAAUAAAUUAUGAAAGUAAUAAUUGAUUGAUAAAUUAUAAAUUAAUAAUACCUAUGUAUCACAGAAUGACUGGAAGUUUAUGUGACUUUCUUAAGGCGAAUAAUUUUAUUAACGAAUUUCUUUUUAUAUUUAAAUUAUGGUCCUGAAAAGAACCGAUUUUAAACCCAAACAUAUUUGGUAUUUAAUGCCUCGAUAGGUGUUCAAACCUGCUUUCCAUCACAUUCCAAAUAAGCUUCCAACCUUCUUGGGGUGGAUAAAACUGCUGUUUCGAUUUCAGCAGCUGAUAUUUCAUUUAUUGCACCACGGAUUCUGUUUUCCAUAUCCUGUCUUGUUGUAGGUGGAGUUUGGUACACAAUAUCUUUUAAACGACCCCAUAAGUAAAAGUCUAGGCAUGUCAAGUCGGGUGACCUGGCCGGCCAAGGAUAUAGACUCCCCCUUCCGAUCCAGCGCCCUUGAAAGUAAUUAUUUAUAUGAUGCCGCACCAAACGGGAAAAAUGUGCUGGGCACCCGUCCAAUUGGAAAUACAUGGUCCGUCUUACUUCCAAUGUCAAAUCUUCCAUUAAAAUAGGCAAGGAAUUUGCUAAAAAUUGCAAAAAAACAUUACCGGUUAAUGUGCCAUCAAAAAAAUAAGGACCAAUAAUUUUCAUUCCGAUAAUGCCACACCACACGUUUACACUCCAUCGGCCUUGGUGCUGGACUUCUCGCAUCCAACGAGGAUUUUCAACCGACCAAUAAUGCAUAUUUUGCCUGUUGACUUUCCCAUCCCUACAAAAAGUGGCUUCAUCGGUCCACAGAAUCUGUGACAAAAAAUCCCUGUUUUCGCGAAUCAUUGCUAGUAUCCAUUGGCAAAAAUCAAUUCGGGGCUCAAAAUCAUGUUCGUUUAGAGCUUGGUGUAGGAUUAUAUGAAAAGGGUGUAGCCUUAAAAUAAAAAGAAAUGCCUAUAUUCGAGAAGAAAAUUAUAAUAAAAAGAUGUAUUACCUGUGGUCUUUAAGUAUAUUUUGAACAGUAGUUCGAGCUAUUCCCAAAUCUAAAGAUAACGCACGAGUUCCAAUAUGCCUAUUAAACUCUACGUAGGCCAACACAUUAAUAAUGUUUUCUUCAGUUCUGCAGUAGAGCGACGCCUUCUAAAUUUGGGCUGACUAAAACUCCCAGUAUCGCGUAGUCGCUGUACCAACCGUGGAAAAAUUCUUCUGCCAUAAUGGCGGCGAUCUGGCUAGCGAAGGGCAUACUGUCUUUCAGCUAUUGCUGCAUUUUGAAAGCACUCAAAGAAAACCGCAAUCAAAUCCACAGCUUCAUUAUUUGUUAAAGGCAUUUUACAAAAAAUCGAGCAAAGAAAAUUGAAAACAGAUUUAAACUGGCCGUCUAAUAAAUAUUUGACGUUUCCAUACAAUGCUUUUUAAAAGUUUCUUUUGUUUUUGCCGCCUACUAUACGUUAACUAGACAUUCUAAGGCCGAGCGCUAGAUGACGGUAUAUAAGUUUGGACUCGGUGCGUAAAAGACUUUAAUUCGCUAGAACUUUUAAACAAGCAAAGAUAUCAUCGUGCGGUUUUCACAGUAUUUUUGCAAAUUUUAUCUACUUUUUAAAUAUGAUGUCAAAAAUCUACCAUUCGAUUUGCAUUUUUGGAGCAAAAUGAAAAAAACUUGAAUUAUUACAAAUUGCGCCGUCUGGCGGUUUUAUUAGGAAUUAUAGGGUAGUGAUGAAUUUACACCGAUUUUAAUGAUUCCACUUUCAAUAGCUUCCCCCACCCCUACUAUCGUUCGUACGUCAAUGAUUCAUAAAACCAAAAUUAUAGCAAAUUAUCUAGGCUUACUAAAAAUAAUAUCAAAAGUAUAAGUUAAUACUUAAGUUUUCGGAGAAAAAGACGUUUCUUUUAUUUAAUUUUUAGUUGCGCCCUCUUGCGGUGAAAUACGGAACUUAAAAAUAAUUUCCAGAAUUUUCUCACAGCCACGUUUAUAAUCAUAAAAAAAAUUCCAUUGUUGCCAGAUGUACAGGUUCUGAGAUACAGCCGCUUACCUCGCUUAUUUGGCCACCCUGUACUAUAUAUUAUAGAAAAAAUAUCGACACUUUUUUUAUAAUUUUAUCACAAAAAAAAGGUUUCCUUCUCAUUUGGCACCCUAUGCAAAAUAUAGUUAGUUGUGAAAAUGUUUGGAUAACUUACUUAAAACAUAUUAUCUUUACGUUUUUCUAUGACACAACUGAAUACGGAAUUUCUUAGACUAAGUGCAAGUAGAACUGCUUCAGUAUUUUUUUUAUCUCUGCUUCUAGAUUACUCGAUUUAUCGUCUUUGUAAAGCGAUAUUUGAUCACUCAGAUGCUGAAAAGCUUGAGCUUGAUUCAAAAUUUUGCUACUUUGUGCCCACGGUUGUUUACCGCAAAUAAUCAGAUGGAAAAAGUAGCCGAAGAAUUAAUUCAUUCAAAUAACAGAAAAAUGAAUGGCUCAAAAAUUAAACUAUCCAAAUGGACUUAAAUGAGCCUUAAUAACGGGAUUCUUCUAAUCAUGCUCAAAAAUGUUAAAAUACACCGAUGAGAUAUUUUUUCUGAAAUAUAAUCCUAUUACUUGUCUAAUAAGUUGGCAUAUAGUCGCAUUAUUAUUACAAUCGACUCGUAAUCAGAAGUUUUUGAAUGAUAAUAUGAGAUAUAAUAGAUUUGUUUAUAUACCCAGGAUCUGCAGUUUUAUAUAUUGACCUUUCGAGCUCGUUACUUCUUUUCGAUAUCCUACCUAGCUUUAUCUUUUUUAUUGAAAUGGAAAUGAACGGAAAAAUGUAUCGUUAAAGAUUUAAAUUAAUAUUUCUUCUAAAUACGCAUAUACAGUCGUGACAAAAAGUUAGAGCACCUUUAAAUUUAUUAUUCCAAUUAAUAUAGCUUAAAUCCAAUUUUGUAAAAUACCCAUUAUUUUUUAUAAUUUUUCGGCAUUGACGUAACGGCAUUUUCUCCUCAGCAUACGGCACUAUAAAUUCUUCUGAUAUUUGCUUAUACUGGAACCUGUUCGUAAUACCUUCAAUCUUGUGGAGGGACCCCAUACCAUAGUUGGAGAAACACCCCCAAACGAUAACGUUACCACCUCCUUGUUUUAUUGUGGUGCGGGUGUACGCGGGAUUCAGCCUUUCAUUGAUAGGCCAUCUUACGUAAUUUAUACCAUCACUCUGGAAUAAACUGAAUUUGGAUUCGUCGCUCCAUAUGAUUCUUUUCCACUCGGAAUCCGACCAGUGCCCCUCAAUCCCAAUCUCAACUUACCUCAAUCCCCAUAGUUUCCGAAAUACGAGGCCGGAUUUUAUUAGAGCCAAUAAAGGGGUCAUUUUUGGCAAUCCUUAAUAUUGCUUUAUCUUGUAAUAAAGUUGUUUUUCUUGUUCUCCCAGACUUUUUCUUUUCAGAUACCUCUCCCGUUUCGUGAAAUCUCUUUAGAAUACGGGAAAUAAUACUUUUGUUUAAGGAAAAUUUUCUAGCGACAUUAGCCGGGUUAUCCCCGUUUAAAAAAAAAAAACAAUGCGGUUUUUAAUAUCCAUUGAUAGACAUUUGCCACGAGACAUGUUGCUAUUGCUAUUCGAUAAAAUCUUCACUAUUUGCGGUUUUAACAUUAAAUGAGUUAAAGCGUGUCAUAAAAAUUCCAAAGUUGCCCACUUUUUUCCCGCCUAGAAAAUAGUUGGCAUAAAAAAAACACAAAAUAAUAUAAAUUGGAAUAUGUUUUUAUCAAAUUAUAUUUGUCCACGGCGUCUGCUUAGAUAGAAGAAAUAUCUGUGAUAUUAUAUUAAAUAUACGGAAAUUAUUGGGGUUUUUAAAAAGUUGCGCUACUCUUUGCCACUACUUUAAGUAUAUAUUUUUCUUUUUUUCAAUAAUUGAGCAUAUGACACACUAUUUCCUAGUUUCAAUGUAAAUUUAAAUUAGUCUGAAUUUCUUUUUUAUCUUUUUAAAUUGCUUCUUUUUAAUUUAAAUUUCUAUUCUUCGAUGGUUCGAAGGCUUAUUCGCAUAAACAUGUGACUUGAUACCCUGUGUGACUGAUAACACCACAGUCACAUGUCAUCAAGAUCAAAAUACUGCAUUACCUUUUUUGUUUUCGAACAAAAACUGUCCAAUUAUUCCUCCAGAUUCUAAUAUACACCAUACAGUGACACGUUUUGGAUGCAUGGGCUUCUGAUGAAUCAUUCGCAGAUUUUCCAAUUCGUAAAGCCCCAAAUGCGACAGUUUUGCGUAUUACCGAAGCCAUUGUAAAAAUGAGCGUCAUGAAUAAAAAUCUUUUUUAUUUGCAAAAUCGGUGGGUUGAUCAAGGAAAUAAUUGGUGAAUUCUCUUCACUGUGCUGGUCUGUUGGCAAAAAAUGUUGAGUUAGUUGGAUUUUGAAGGCAUGCAGUUGUAAAUCUUUAGUAAGAAUUCGCUGGAGAGUGCCUGUUGAAAAGGGUUUAGGCCUAUUUUCCGUAUCUAGCUUGUUUUUACAGUGAAAUACAUGUGACCAAAAAGAGGCAAAAUUGAGAUUAGUUUUUUUUUUUUUUCAAACAAUCAACUUUUUUGGAACUAUCUCUACUUUACAUAUAAUUUCUGUAAGAAUAAGUUACAGUGAUUAAAAUAUUCGGCUCUAAGAAUAGACAAUCAUUUUUGCUAAAAAUAGGCCAGACAUUUUAAGAAACUUAUGCGCCACCCUUUACACGAAGUUAAUUGGUAUAAAAAGAAUGGUCUAUUGAUGCGUUUUCAUCUUCAGUCAUUCUGAAAGAAUUCUUCAUCUUUUUCAUCUCAGUGAGUCUUUCAUUCUUCAUCUUUCAGUGCAUUUGAAAUUCGGUAUUUGAAGCCACACAAGAGAUGUCCAAAGGUGAAGUUGAAUAUUAAUGUUAAAACUUUUUAUUUAGCGACGUUAAUCUAAAGAGGUCACUGUUUUGUUUUUAAACCAGGGAUAACCUUCUGUGCAUUUUAAGUGUCGGGAUAUAAUUUGGUAUUUUGAGUUGUCCUUCGAAACAAUCAUUAUUUUGUUUAUCCAUCGAAAAUAUUGGAAACAACUUCAAACCUUUAGGUUAUUCUUUUGAGUUGCUCAAGUGGGCUAGCAAAAAGUGAUACUAAGGUUAGCAGCUUUAUAGGUUAGAUAAAUUGUACUUUUUUUGCAGAUAUUCAUUAAUUUUUUCUUCUUCUGGUACAUUUAAUUAGUGACUUUAAUAAUUAACGUUCUCUGCAUAAGGCAGCUACUUACUAUCGCCGAUAUGUUAUUUAUUCUGUUGCCUCUAAACAUAUUAAUUUGUCCUAAUCUGUUUAGUCAAAAAAAGGUCAAAAGUCAAAAAUAGCUUUAUUGUUACAUAACAUAAUAUGUUAUUAACAAACCAUUAUAUAAAACUUUAAAGAUAGUUGACAACAUGAUCUUUUACAAAAAUAUAAAUAUUUUAACAAUUCUUACAUACAUAGAAUAUAGAACCCACGCAACACAAUUAAAAUAGUAAGAAGUCACAUCACGCUACGCAAAUCUUCUCACUAUCAGAAAGUUGUAUUUAAAUGAACGAGAAUAAAAUGCUUUUGCAAGUAAAAGUUUAUAUUUUUCCUAUAAAGUUUUUCACAAUUUAUUAGCCUUAUAUAAAGGGGUAGAUGGUUAAAAAGCCUUCUGCCCCCAUACACAAUAGAGGACUUAAUCUGCUCACUUUUUCGGGUAGGCUUUUACUUUAGUAUUGCAUACAUUCGAGAAAUAAACGUGGAAAAUUCUGUGUUUUAAGUGUUUUGAAUAGUAAUAAUCCGUAUGGAUGGGCCUUUUCACAUUUUUAAUGAUCGCAGUAUGAGUUAAAGCAUCAAAACAUACGAAUAUUCAAUAGCCAUUAAAGUGACUAGUUGGGUGUAUUUCUAAUAUAUUUGUCAUAUUUAGCAGUGUAUCAACAAAACUAAUGUAGCACCACAACUUUUAGUUAUUAAGCAUUCCUUUCAAGUGCCUUGAUUUUACACCUAAAAGCCGUGGCAGAAAAUCUGUAUUGAUAAGAAAUAUAGGAUAAGUUUAGACGAAAAAAAGUGGCAAUCUUGUUAACCUUUUUUUUUUAAUUAGUUGCUUUUACUUUAGUUACCUUUGUAUAUUUUAACGUGGUAGCAAAUCUAUGACAAUACUACUGUAUUGGAAGUUUUAGAGCACUGUACAGGGUGCUUAUUUUAUAAAGAAGUUUUAUUCCACCUGUCUGUAUAUUAUGUGUCUACAAUCAAAAGUAAUUUUUUAAGCAGUAUAUCGACAACUUAUUAUGACUUUUAAUAAUGUGUGUAACGAAGUAUUAUAAAAACUACUAUAUGUGAUUAUUAUUAUUAUUAUUACAAUUAUUAUAAUUGCAACAUUUACGUUACGUUACGAUUAUUAUAGCAAUAGCGCUACAUUCUUAUUGAAGCAUUUUCCAAAUAAAUUAUUUUAAAUUA
Molecule: unclassified non-coding RNA, 9962 nt
Filed under: Anthonomus grandis grandis
Lineage: Eukaryota; Metazoa; Arthropoda; Insecta; Coleoptera; Curculionidae
Description: tyrosine-protein phosphatase non-receptor type 2
Source: RNAcentral